This is a long non-coding RNA of Anguilla anguilla (European eel), 90 nucleotides long. RefSeq lists it as uncharacterized. Lineage: Eukaryota; Metazoa; Chordata; Actinopteri; Anguilliformes; Anguillidae. The transcript has 2 exons. The record is from RefSeq and is a predicted model, not a curated record.
GGGGGGGGGGUUGACUAUCAGGAUGUGAGUGUACAGACUAUGGGAGGCAGUGCUGGGAUGGCCACUGUAUCACAUGAUGAAAAGACAAAA